Molecule: non-coding RNA, 46 nt
Organism: Anoxybacillus sp. BCO1
Lineage: Bacteria; Bacillati; Bacillota; Bacilli; Caryophanales; Anoxybacillaceae
Source: Rfam
ACGAUGUUCCGCUGCUAUGAACGAUAAACAUAAGCAUGAGCAUCUG